RNAcentral lists this ribosomal RNA (402 nucleotides) under uncultured prokaryote. RNAcentral describes it as "bacterial SSU rRNA". It matches the Rfam family "Bacterial small subunit ribosomal RNA", at positions 355 to 774 of the family's 1533-position model. The record is from RNAcentral.
UGGGGAAUAUUGCACAAUGGGGGAAACCCUGAUGCAGCAACGCCGCGUGAGUGAUGACGGCCUUCGGGUUGUAAAGCUCUGUCUUCAGGGACGAUAAUGACGGUACCUGAGGAGGAAGCCACGGCUAACUACGUGCCAGCAGCCGCGGUAAUACGUAGGUGGCGAGCGUUGUCCGGAUUUACUGGGCGAAAAGGGAGCGUAGGCGGACUUUUAAGUGAGAUGUGAAAUACCCGGGCUCAACUUGGGUGCUGCAUUACAAACUGGAAGUCUAGAGUGCAGGUGAGGAGAAUGGAAUUCCUGGUGUAGCGGUGAAAUGCGUAGAGAUUAGGAAGAACACCAGUGGCGAAGGCGACUUACUGGGCCGUAACUGACGUUGAGGCGCGAAAGCGUGGGGAGCGAACA